Capsicum annuum is the source of this 4834-nucleotide long non-coding RNA. RefSeq lists it as uncharacterized. The transcript has 3 exons. Lineage: Eukaryota; Viridiplantae; Streptophyta; Magnoliopsida; Solanales; Solanaceae. The record is from RefSeq and is a predicted model, not a curated record.
UCAACUUUAUAUGUCAAAAGAUUGUUUAAAGAUCUCGUUUUUUAUUGUUUUGGGGAGUUCAGCGAUGCCGUGGACCUGUCGUUUAAACCUGAUUCUCUUCUGCUUAUUCACAGUUCACUGAUUCAAUCUAUUUCUUGGAAUGCUCUAUGUGCAUAGCUGGUUUCCCGGGUUAUGGAUGCGUGGAUGGUAAUGGAGAGUCCAGUAUGCUUUCCGGAGUUCGGGAGUUUUGAAUUUAAUCGGUUCUGUUUGUUCUGUUGUGUGCUUUUGGAUGAUCAUAUGCAAUUAUCAAUUUCGAACUUAUAAACGAGAAGCAAGUGAUUAUUUUGUAGUUCAUGUGCUUAGCUGGAUAUCUUUUCCUAGGUCGUUAUGGAUGUGGGGAUGGCGGUGGAGAGCCAAGUCUAGUUCGUGUUCAGGAGUUUGAGAAUUUUUUAUUUAAUCGGUUCCCUUUUUGGUGUUUUCAUCGAUGAUAUGUUUGGGGGCCUUUUGAGGUAUUCCGUGAUUAUUUAGCAGCUAAUUCUAAUUUUUGGGGACCUUUUGCGGAAAGUCGAGUAUGCGAUCAGGAGUUUGGGAGUUUUGUAUUUAAUCAGUUCAUGUUUUUGUUUUUGUUCUGUGCUUUUGGAUGAUUAUAUGCGAUUACCAAAUACAUUGAUUUGCUACAGGAUGAUAAAUUUGGGGACCCUUUUGUGUUAUUCUGUGAUCAUUUUGCAGCUAAUUUUUUAAUUUUGUGGUUGUAAAAUUGGUCACUAUAUCCAUCUGCAUGACAUUUAACCACCAGGUAUGCUUCAUGUGUUGGUUAUUGCUGGGUUAGCUCUUUGCCGUUGAAGAAAAAGAAAAUCUGUGAGGAUGUUCAGAUCUUAGGGUUGUCAAUGUCAAAUUGGUUUUUGCAUGAUACUUGCACGGACAAGUUUCUCUUCUGCUUUGUUAUCAUCAUUGUUCUACUCACAAGUCUAGUUCUUUAUUCUUCUUGUUGGGGCUUCUUGACCUUGAUCUUUUAAGCACAUAGAGGAUAUGUUGUCAUUUGCUCUUGUUCAGCCUGUUGGUUGAGUAAUUUUUUGUGAAGUUGAACUGGAGCAUGAGUAGGGGUUUUGAGAUUCGAGUAUUCCUUCUUGUGGGAGGUUCAGUCAUGUAAUUAUUUUCUUGAUGAUCAUAGGGGUGAUUAGUGAACAUAUCAGGGCCUGUCAUAGUUUAAUCUUGUCAUGUUUGGAUUCGUAUUUCAAGGUGUUUAUCAUGUAUGUGAUGCUUUGGACCUUCUUUGGGGUUUCAGCAGGCAGUGAGCAUUGGUUUGGACCUGAUUCUUCAUCUUCUUUUUAGUUUAACAAUAUUGUAUCGAUUAUAUUUACCUCCUGUUCUCUCCCUUGGUUUUCCAAUGUAGGUGUAGUGCAAGUUGUUAGGUGAAACGGGUGCAAGUUUCUUUUCUUUGGUUGCAGAUUGUUCUUAGCUUAUUUGUUAUACAGGGAUUAGAGGCUUCUUUUAGAGUUCCGUCUUCUGGAUAAUUCCGAACCUUCGCUUACUCCUAGGCCAUUUAGGUCAAGAAAUCAACCUUCUUUGGUCCUUAUACACAAGUUUGAGCUGCUGUUAUUUUGUUACCCCGACUGAGGUGGUGUUGUUCUUGAUUGUAAAAUUGAUGCGUGCUUUUCGUCUUUGCCUUCUUUUUUUCCUCAUCUCCUUACUACAGAAUAAUUUUAUUUGAUCAAGUAGUAGGCUCAUGAUGAAUGUUGAUGAUGGGAAAAUGUCGAUUUACAUCCAGUUGCAAGCCCUCAACGUUGCUAUUGUGCAAAUCUCAUCUCCUUAGAGGAAACGUGGGCACACUCUUUAUCUCUCUCUCUCAUCUUAUGAGUUUGAUGAUGACUUUGUGGGGUAGGAUGGGGUAAUUGAGUUUUACUUUCUGUGCUUGCAGUUGCAUAAAGUAAAAUUUGGGAGGAUGCAGGUCCAGUUUUGGUAGGACAUUUCAGUUGAUUCAUCAGUUUCUUUUUUCUGUUUCUCAUGUGCAUAAUGUUGUUUUUGUCAACUUGCUUAUUGUGGGGGUUGUCGGUUGAAUUCCGUCUGUUGACCAAAUUAUUUCAACCUAUUUCUUACCUUUUUGUUUUUCCUAAUUUCUUGUUUCUACUAUAUUUUCGCAGUGUAGCGGUUGUUCCAUUUGCAUAAUGAGUUGUCCGCUUCUUGUUUGGUGGCCUACAUUGAUGGAGAGUACCACUUAAUUUUUUAAGAUGUGAUUAUGGUGUUUUUGGUGCAGCGCUCUUUUCCUCAACAUUGUCUGCUUGUUCAUUCAAGUUGCUUGUUGCGGGAUAUUACAUUGACAAGAUAUUUUUCUUAUUGAUGGAGGCAAAAACGCAUGUAGACAUCUCUUGGGGUAUUGAGUUGGGUUGAGUUGGAUCUUGCAGGGAAAGUGAGGGGUAUUGGGAAUGGUCAAGCUCCUCCACUUAUUGCUGAAUCUGGAAUCUACUGGAUAGCAUCUUUCCUCUUAUUAUCAGGUCUUCUUUUCCAUUCAGUUCUUCUAGGGUAGCUGUGAUAUGGUUGUAGUUUUGAGUUAGACGUUAAAGGGCAACCUCUGGUCUAGUUUCCAGAUUUCCGAACCGGAUCUACUUUCUCAUCAGCAUCCUUUUCUUUUUCAUUUUUUUUUAUCACGUCUAGUUUAUUAUAAGGUGACUGAUUAUUAUGUUCAAUCUGUUGCUGUAGUCGAUCCGUCUGGAUUGUGAGAUUUGAUGAUGCAAGUCUUGAUAAGAAAUUCGAGUCAUAUACUUAUUUCUGUGUCUUGAUUGCAAUAGAUGUUCAGUGUGUGACAAGUCGUGAUCGGGUUUUGUGCCUUGGUGGUCCUGAAAUUGUGUGCAGCAAUUUUGGAACAGUUCAAUCACGUCCGUGUUUUCUAUCUCGAGGAGUUGCCAUGGGGUGGGGAUUUGGACGUCUCGCAUAUUUUCAAUUCAUCCGAUUUCUUGUGGGUAAUUUGCGAGGGUAGACUCGCUUGAAAAUUUUAUCUCAGCUUGACGACGUCUGUGAUUUUUAUUUUGAAGAGUUGCCAUGGGUGAGGAUUUGGACAUCUUGCAUAUUUAUCCAAUUUCUUUUGGUAAUUUGCGAUGGUCGACUCUCUUGGAAGCUCUAGUAAGGCUGUUGAGUGAUUAGCUUCCACUUGAUUUUUCUUAUUCUAGCACUGAUUUUCUGAACUAGGUGUGGUUCGAGUUGUUAUGGCAUUGCAGGUGGAAUCUUGGAUUUAGAUGGAUGUGUGAAGCCAGUAAUAUUUUUAUCUCUAUUGAAGUAAUAUUUUCAUUAAUUAGCUUCUAGAGGAUGAAGCAAAGUCUGUUCUCUUUUGUGUAAAGGAUGAAGCAAAGCAAGUUUGUUUUAUGCUGCUUAUGUUGCUAUGCUUUUAUGUAGUGGAGUAAAACCUCUCUGAAAGGUCUACACGUCAGGUUGGAUAUCCUCUACAAGUUGAAGCUUUACCAAGAUCUCUGUCCUGUGAAGUUCCUAAACUGGGCAAUUAAUUCUUGCAUUAAGAUUGUGCCAUCCGUGAUAUCUGAUUCUAGAGACACUGAUUUCAACUGGCGCAUUUAUCAUUGUGGACUCUCUAGACAUAAUGUUGAGUUUUGCUGCUUGGAUGAACAUGCUAUUGUUCUCUUUUUAUUCUUUAAUCAAGGAUUACUCUUUAAAGGAACGGAAUAGGCAGUGAUCACCAUGGUAAAAAAAUUUGACUUUUGUCUCCAGUUAUGAGGCUGUCAGCCCUGUUCUUUCAAGGUCGUUUUGGUGCUCCAGUCAUGCAGUUGUCAGCUUCUAGAAUAGGGUGGUUCUCUCCCUAUCUCCGUCUUUGUUUAUAUAGAGUUUCACUAGAAUGAAAAGAACUUUAUUCAUAUCAAGUCCCUUAGGUGUAGAAAUCCGACUUUUAUGAGCUGCUGUUAUAUUUCGUGUUGACUUCUGCUCUUUGAUCUCAAGUAAAGAACUAUUCUGUGGUCUCUUUACGUCUGAUAGAUUGUUCCAUAGGUAGGACGGGUUGGCGGACUUUGGAUUGUUAACCAAGUCUUGCUUCAAGUGCUUGCACAGCUUAGGUAAUUAUAUGUUAAGAUGGCUCCCUUGUUUGUUAUGUGGAAGCUUGGGCUGUUGUUUUAACGAGACAACGAGAUGCCAAAAUUCAUUGAGCCUGAUUGUGUGGUUGUCUCAACUCUCCCGGAGUGAUAAUGUUCAAUUGAGCAGAGUGAUGCAACUUUUUGAGUUUUUCCUUGUUUUUCUGUUUUCUGUACAUAUUGGGCUGUGGGAACAAAAAUUGUUACACUGUGUGAUCAUCUAAUGAAUUGAGUUUGAGAAAUGCUUACCUUGUGUUCAUUUGAGUUUAUGUUGUAGCUUGUUAGCCCGAUGUUGGAUUCUAUGUGCAAAUGAGUAAAAUAUGCUAGCACAGAUAUGUGGUGUACUGGGUUCUAGGGGUUGGGAAUUGCAAUGUUAUUGAUCCAACGAGUUUGCUACAUCCAUCUGAGGGUUCACCUAUUUAUACUUGUGACCUCUCCUUGCAUGUUUUUAAGGUCACAUGAAAUCUGUCUGGAUCUUUUGGUACGCCAGGUAGUAACAAUUUGUUAUCAGCUGCAUGUCCUAGUUCAUAUCCUAGUUUCCUUGUGGCAUGUACCUUUUCAAUGCUUUCCUGGCUCUAACUUCUAGUCAGUUUGUCUCCAUGAAUAGCAUUGUGGAUGGCGAGGGUAGUUUUAUCAGUACUACCUCAUAGAAAUGCUUCUAUUUUAUGUUAGCUUGAUAACAGCUUAGCUCUGACAGCAAGAAGAUUGGAUUUCUCGGCACUCUUUUCAGUAGUGUUAUACUGUUUAGUGGACCACUAUAUGAUGAAGGCUCUUGGCCAAAUCCUGAU